CCCGACUGCUAUCAGAGUGGGACUAAGCCAUGCGAGUUAACAUAGCAAUAUGUGGCAUACGGCUCAGUAACACGUAGUCAACAUGCCCAGGGGACGUGGAUAACCUCGGGAAACUGAGGAUAAACCGCGAUAAGUCACUACUUCUGGAAUGGGUAAUGACUAAAAUCUAUAUGGCCCCUGGAUUGGACUGCGGCCGAUCAGGCUGUUGGUGAGGUAAUGGCCCACCAAACCUGUAACCGGUACGGGCUCUGAGAGGAGGAGCCCGGAGAUGGGCACUGAGACAAGGGCCCAGGCCCUAUGGGGCGCAGCAGGCGCGAAACCUCUGCAAUAGGCGAAAGCCUGACAGGGUUACUCUGAGUGAUUUCCGUUAAGGAGAUCUUUUGGCACCUCUAAAAAUGGUGCAGAAUAAGGGGUGGGCAAGUCUGGUGUCAGCCGCCGCGGUAAUACCAGCACCCCGAGUGGUCGGGACGUUUAUUGGGCCUAAAGCAUCCGUAGCCGGUUCUACAAGUCUUCCGUUAAAUCCACCUGCUUAACAGAUGGGCUGCGGAAGAUACUAUAGAGCUAGGAGGCGGGAGAGGCAAGCGGUACUCGAUGGGUAGGGGUAAAAUCCGUUGAUCCAUUGAAGACCACCAGUGGCGAAGGCGGCUUGCCAGAACGCGCUCGACGGUGAGGGAUGAAAGCUGGGGGAGCAAACCGGAUUAGAUACCCGGGUAGUCCCAGCUGUAAACGAUGCAGACUCGGUGAUGAGUUGGCUUCUUGCCAACUCAGUGCCGCAGGGAAGCCGUUAAGUUUGCCGCCUGGGGAG
RNAcentral lists this ribosomal RNA (805 nucleotides) under uncultured Front Range soil crenarchaeote FRB9A. Its description in RNAcentral is "bacterial SSU rRNA". It matches the Rfam family "Archaeal small subunit ribosomal RNA", at positions 21 to 835 of the family's 1478-position model. The record is from RNAcentral. Lineage: Archaea; Thermoproteati; Thermoproteota.